This 494-nucleotide ribosomal RNA is filed under the name uncultured bacterium. RNAcentral's name for it is "partial 16S ribosomal RNA". It matches the Rfam family "Bacterial small subunit ribosomal RNA", at positions 28 to 507 of the family's 1533-position model. The record is from RNAcentral.
GGCGAACGCUGGCGGCGUGCUUAACACAUGCAAGUCGAACGGUGAAGCGCCUUCCUUUUUGGUGGGUGUGGAUGAGUGGCGAACGGGUGAGUAACACGUGAGUAACCUGCCCCCUUCUUCUGGAUAACCGCAUGAAAGUGUGGCUAAUACGGGAUAUUUUGGGUCUUUCGCAUGAUGGGUCUGGGAAAGGUAUUGUUUCGGUGGGGGAUGGGCUCGCGGCCUAUCAGCUUGUUGGUGGGGUGUUGGCCUACCAAGGCGGGGACGGGUAGCCGGCCUGAGAGGGUGGACGGUCACACUGGGACUGAGACACGGCCCAGACUCCUACGGGAGGCAGCAGUGGGGAAUAUUGCACAAUGGGCGCAAGCCUGAUGCAGCGACGCCGCGUGAGGGAUGGAGGCCUUCGGGUUGUGAACCUCUUUCGCCAGUGAAGCAGGCCUGCCUCGUUUGUGGGUGGGUUGACGGUAGCUGGAUAAGAAGCGCCGGCUAACUACGUG